This 28-nucleotide small RNA is filed under the name Bombyx mori (domestic silkworm). RNAcentral describes it as "piRNA piR-bmo-1413108". Lineage: Eukaryota; Metazoa; Arthropoda; Insecta; Lepidoptera; Bombycidae. The record is from RNAcentral.
GUGACUCCGUUUCAGCUUGUCGACUGCC